AUUGAACGCUGGCGGCAUGCCUUACACAUGCAAGUCGAACGGUAACGGGCCUUCGGGUGCCGACGAGUGGCGCACGGGUGCGUAAUACAUCGGAACGUGCCCGAUCGUGGGGGAUAACGAGGCGAAAGCUUUGCUAAUACCGCAUACGAUCUACGGAUGAAAGCAGGGGACCGCAAGGCCUUGCGCGGACGGAGCGGCCGAUGGCAGAUUAGGUAGUUGGUGGGAUAAAAGCUUACCAAGCCGACGAUCUGUAGCUGGUCUGAGAGGAUGAUCAGCCACACUGGGACUGAGACACGGCCCAGACUCCUACGGGAGGCAGCAGUGGGGAAUUUUGGACAAUGGGCGCAAGCCUGAUCCAGCCAUGCCGCGUGCAGGAUGAAGGCCUUCGGGCUGUAAACUGCUUUUGUACGGAACGAAAAGCCUUCUUUUAAUACAGGAGGGUCAUGACGGUACCGUAAGAAUAAGCACCGGCUAACUACGUG
This 482-nucleotide ribosomal RNA is filed under the name uncultured bacterium. RNAcentral describes it as "partial 16S ribosomal RNA". It matches the Rfam family "Bacterial small subunit ribosomal RNA", at positions 30 to 507 of the family's 1533-position model. The record is from RNAcentral.